AUGGCAGGCCCCUCAGCUCCUGGGCUCAUGCUGUCCUCUCCCCCAGACUGUCCUCUCCCCCAGACUGUCCUCUCCCCCAGACUGUCCUCUCUCCCUGGACUAUCCUCUCCACCCAGACUGUCCUCUCCACCUGGACUGUCCUCUCCACCUGGACUGUCCUCUUUACCUGGACUGUCCUCUCCCCCGGACUGUCCUUUCCCCCCGGACUGUCCUUUCCCCCUGGACUAUCCUCUCCACCCAGACUGUCCUCUCCACCUGGACUGUCCUCUCCACCUGGACUGUCCUCUCCCCCGGACUGUCCUUUCCCCCCGGACUGUCCUUUCCCCCUGGACUAUCCUCUCCACCUGGACUGUCCUCUCCCCCGGACUGUCCUCUCCACCUGGACUGUCCUCUCCACCUGGACUGUCCUCUCCCCCGGACUGUCCUUUCCCCCCGGACUGUCCUUUCCCCCUGGACUAUCCUCUCCACCCAGACUGUCCUCUCCACCUGGACUGUCCUCUCCACCUGGACUAUCCUCUCCACCCAGACUGUCCUCUCCACCUGGACUGUCCUCUCCCCCGGACUGUCCUUUCCCCCCGGACUGUCCUUUCCCCCUGGACUAUCCUCUCCACCCAGACUGUCCUCUCCACCUGGACUGUCCUCUCCACCUGGACUGUCCUCUCCCCCGGACUGUCCUUUCCCCCCGGACUGUCCUUUCCCCCUGGACUAUCCUCUCCACCCAGACUGUCCUCUCCACCUGGACUGUCCUCUCCACCUGGACUAUCCUCUCCACCCAGACUGUCCUCUCCACCUGGACUGUCCUCUCCACCUGGACUGUCCUCUCCACCUGGACUGUCCUCUCCCCCGGACUGUCCUUUCCCCCUGGACUGUCCUUUCCCCCUGGACUAUCCUCUCCACCCAGACUGUCCUCUCCACCUGGACUAUCCUCUCCACCUGGACUGUCCUCUCCACCUGGACUGUCCUCUCCACCUGGACUGUCCUUUCCCCCUGGACUAUCCUCUCCACCUGGACUGUCCUCUCCACCUGGACUGUCCUCUCCACCUGGACUGUCCUCUCCACCUGGACUGUCCUCUCCACCUGGACUGUCCUCUCCCCCGGACUGUCCUUUCCCCCUGGACUAUCCUCUCCACCCAGACUAUCCUCUCCACCCAGACUGUCCUCUCCACCUGGACUGUCCUCUCCACCUGGACUGUCCUCUCCACCUGGACUGUCCUCUCCACCUGGACUGUCCUCUCCACCUGGACUGUCCUCUCCCCCGGACUGUCCUUUCCCCCCGGACUGUCCUUUCCCCCUGGACUAUCCUCUCCACCCGGACUGUCCUCUCCACCUGGACUGUCCUCUCCACCUGGACUAUCCUCUCCACCUGGACUGUCCUCUCCACCUGGACUGUCCUCUCCACCUGGACUGUCCUCUCCCCCGGACUGUCCUUUCCCCCCGGACUGUCCUUUCCCCCUGGACUAUCCUCUCCACCCAGACUGUCCUCUCCACCUGGACUAUCCUCUCCACCUGGACUGUCCUCUCCACCUGGACUGUCCUCUCCACCUGGACUGUCCUCUCUACCUGGACUGUCCUCUCUACCUGGACUGUCCUCUCCACCUGGACUGUCCUCUCCCCCUGGACUGUCCUCUCCACCCAGACUGUCCUCUCCACCCAGACUGUCCUCUCCACCUGGACUGUCCUUUCCCCCCGGACUGUCCUCUCCACCUGGACUGUCCUCUCCCCCGGACUGUCCUUUCCCCCUGGACUAUCCUCUCCACCCGGACUGUCCUCUCCACCUGGACUGUCCUUUCCCCCUGGACUGUCCUUUCCCCCUGGACUGUCCUCUCCACCCAGACUGUCCUCUCCACCUGGACUGUCCUCUCCACCUGGACUGUCCUCUCCACCUGGACUGUCCUUUCCCCCUGGACUGUCCUUUCCCCCUGGACUGUCCUCUCCACCCAGACUGUCCUCUCCACCUCUCCCCCGGACUGUCCUUUCCCCCUGGACUAUCCUCUCCACCCGGACUGUCCUCUCCACCUGGACUGUCCUUUCCCCCUGGACUGUCCUUUCCCCCUGGACUGUCCUCUCCACCCAGACUGCCCUCUCCACCUGGACUGUCCUCUCCACCUGGACUGUCCUUUCCCCCUGGACUGUCCUUUCCCCCUGGACUGUCCUUUCCCCCUGGACUGUCCUCUCCACCCAGACUGUCCUCUCCACCCAGACUGUCCUCUCCACCUGGACUGUCCUCUCCCCCUGGACUGUCCUCUCCACCCAGACUGUCCUCUCCACCUGGACUGUCCUCUCCACCUGGACUGUCCUCUCCCCCGGACUGUCCUUUCCCGCUGGACUGUCCUCUCCCCCGGACUGUCCUUUCCCCCUGGACUGUCCUCUCCACCUGGACUGUCCUCUCCACCUGGACUAUCCUCUCCACCUGGACUGUCCUCUCCACCUGGACUGUCCUCUCCACCUGGACUGUCCUCUCCACCUGGACUAUCCUCUCCACCUGGACUGUCCUCUCCCCCUGGACUGUCCUCUCCCCCGGACUGUCCUCUCCCCCCGGACUGUCCUCUCUCCCCGACUAUCCUCUCCCCCCGGACUGUCCUCUCUCCCUGGACUGUCCUCUCCCCCCGGACUGUCCUCUCACCUGGACUGUCAUCUCCCCCGGACUGUCCUGCCAGCUAG
Long non-coding RNA from Callithrix jacchus (white-tufted-ear marmoset), 2661 nucleotides. NCBI's taxonomy places the organism in Eukaryota, Metazoa, Chordata, Mammalia, Primates, Cebidae. The record is from Ensembl.